CAUUCGAAGUGCACACAGGAAAUGCACGCAGGGCUGAUGACAGAAGACGUUUCCAGGGUCGCGGCGAGCCUGGAGCCUAUCCCAGGGGACUCGGGGCACAAGGCAUAUGACACUCUGAAUGGGGUGUAAAUAUGAACUUCUAAGAAAACAACACCACCCCCCAAAAGUGUCCAUGGAGAUACCGGUCGAUGAGAGCUUACCAUCAGGAGCUUACCAUCAGGAGCGGACGCAAUAUGGAGAGAACGGUGAUGUCUUAAUUGCCUGACAUCAUAUACUGGAAGAUAUAACGUGAGCAGAGAUAAAUGGGGUUAAUUCACUGGAGAUACCAGCUGUGAAUGCGGGACUAACCAACAAGCCAUGGACCACCUCCCGAUAUACCCUCUGUUGGAAUUAGCUUGCGACAUAAAAACCUCCCAAAAUAACGAUGCCAGUAAGAACUGCAUACAAUUAUAGAUGGACUUCAUAUAGGUGACUUUACAGCUGGACAUGAGAAGAAGAUAAAGAAAAACAAGAAGUGCCGGUUUCCAAAAAAUUAUCUCCAGCAAACCUGGCCACACUUUCUACAUAACUGGUUGCUUUAUCAUAAUUAGUUGACAUCUUUCAAUUAUUAAAAGCACAUCGAUAUAAUGUUUAAUGUUGUUUUGGUGAUUGAUAGAUAUUCUAUUCUCGACAUUUGAGUCUUCCCAUCUAAUAUCACAACCAGCGUACAAGUAUCUGCAGCUUUUAGUUUUGAAAUCCACUAAAAUUACAAAAGCACAGUCCACUGCAUCUCAAGUGUUAAUCCUGACUACGACAAUACUGCCAGAAGUAGAUAAAGGAACUAAAGCAUCAAUUUAGAACAGUGACUAAGCCAUCCAACCUGAAGAGUAUCUUGCAUGUUUGCACAGGAAUGUGUAAUGGUGCAUCGUGACAAAGAUUUUUGCAAGAUAUUCCACUUGUAUUAUUCAUAACGUGAUUAAAUGUAUGAAUCAUUUGCUUCCCUAAUCCUGAUAGAAUAUAAAGAAUCCUGGCCUGAAUAAGUGCAGUAUAACGGAAGGACAGUAGAGUCAAGACAUAUUCCAGUGGUAUAGAAUCCAUCAGCAAGGAUGCGUUUCUCUCUGACACCUCGCCAGUUGGUCUUUCUCUUUUACAUAAUCACACUUUUGUUCAGCUGCGUGCUUGGAGUGCGCUCCAGUGACGGAAAGCCGGUAACAUGCUGUUCACGCACCAGUGAUGCCCAAGUUCUAGCAGCCCGUAUAGCAAAAUAUGCCUACACUGAGAAAUCAGGCAGAUGUCUUGAGGCAUAUGUGUUUUCGCUGAACAAUGGGAAGCUCCAGUGCAGCAGUGUAAAUGCCAAAAAUAUCGACGCAACACUGGCAAUGUUAAAAAAGAAAGGAGUGCCAUUUUUCGGCAGGCUCAAGAGCUGACAUUUACAAGCAGGAGGACAAUGAAGUUCCAGCUGUUGUUCUGCAUACUGUUCUUAUAUGAAAUCAUUCUUCUGCGUACUGUACGUGCCAGUACUCUUUUAUGUAUUUUUGUAUUCCUGCAUAUUAUAGUAUUUAUUUUCAUUUUAUGUUGAACUCAAACCGGAUAUUCACUCAAUAUUUAUCUAAUAUUUAACUUUACAUGCCUUGUGUAUUUAUGGAAAUUAUUUAUUUUGUUAUUAGGUCAUACAAGAUACUAAAUGUAUUACGUGAAGUAUUUUUUUAGCAUUCAUAUUCAAUAAAUAAUACAACUCUGGAAGAAGAGGUUUCUGCUUUCAUGACUGCGUGUUUUAUGUAAGUGUAUUUUUUUACCCAUUCAUCAAAGACAGAGUGAUAUGGGAUGGACACACACUGCUGAAUGAAAUAAAAA
Molecule: long non-coding RNA, 1833 nt
Organism: Ictalurus punctatus (channel catfish)
Lineage: Eukaryota; Metazoa; Chordata; Actinopteri; Siluriformes; Ictaluridae
Source: Ensembl